This 1084-nucleotide long non-coding RNA is filed under the name Homo sapiens (human). RNAcentral describes it as "non-protein coding lnc-CDR2-8:3". The record is from RNAcentral. Lineage: Eukaryota; Metazoa; Chordata; Mammalia; Primates; Hominidae.
ACACGCGAGAAGGGCGGGACCGGGUCCAGAGGCAGGAGCAAGGACAGACCCAAAAGGAGAAGCCAAAGGAUGGAGUCUUGUGCUGUCACCCAGGCUGGAGUACAAUGGUGUGGUCUCAGCACACUGCAACCUCCACCUUCCAGGUUCAAGCGACUCUUCUGCCUCAGCAUCCCGAGUAGCUGGGACUACAGAGAAUCAGGGGUCUUGAUGUGUUGCUCAGGCUGGUCUUGAACUCCUGGCCUCAUGUGAUCCUCCUGCCUCAGCCUCCCAAAAGUGCUGGGAUUACAGGCAUAAGCCAUUACACCCGCCAGGUAGCUUUUUAACUUGGGAUCAUUCACAUCAUUUAAUUAUCACCUACAUCUGUCUAUACCUAGAGACACUCUAAGGCAUUUAUGUAGAAUCUGAUUUUUCCAGAAUUGACUUUUCUGUGGAGGGUGGUAGGAUAUGCAGCAGAAAUGGGCUGGCAUGGGAUAAGGUGAACUCUUCACUGGCAUAAAAACUUUCCAGGUCAAGAGGAAACCUGUGUCCUUUAGCCUGGGUUUUCUGGUCUACCCCUUCCAGGCAAGCCUGGCUGCUAGGAGUCUGGGCUGCUCAGAGAGGACACCAGAGUUCCCGGGCUGCCGUGUGGGGAGGCCCCAAAGCCAAACACCUCCCUUGCGCUUUUGUCUCUUCCACAUGCCUCCUUCCGAGCCUCAACACAUAAUGGGUGGCUCACAAGCAAAACUCCACAGGGCUAGAAGCCAACAUAAAUCUGGAAGCAUCGAGAUCAGCCUGGCCAACAUGGUGAAACCCUGUCUCUACUAAAAAUACGAAAAUUAGCCAAAUACAAAAAAUUAGCCGAGCAGGGUGGUGUGCACCUGUAAUCUCAGCUAUCAGGAGGCUGCGGCAGGAGAAUCGCUUGAACCCAGGAGGCAGAGGUUGCAGUGAGCUGAGAUCGCACCACUGCACUCCAGCCUGGGUGACAGAGUGAGACUGUCUCAAAAAAAUGAAACAAAACAAACGCCUGGAAGCAGGGUGGAAGGGAACUGCAGGUAACUGAGGAACACAUGGCGCCCCUCAAGGGCUCCAGCCAGUUCCAAUGUUG